UACAGAGGGUGCAAGCGUUAAUCGGAAUUACUGGGCGUAAAGCGUGCGUAGACGGUUGCGUAAGUCGGAUGUGAAAGCCCCGGGCUCAACCUGGGAAUUGCAUUUGAGACUGCGUAGCUAGGGUGCGGAAGAGGGAAGCGGAAUUUCCGGUGUAGCGGUGAAAUGCGUAGAUAUCGGAAGGAACACCAGUGGCGAAAGCGGCUUCCUGGUCCAGCACCGACGUUCAGGCACGAAAGCGUGGGGAGCAAACAGG
This 253-nucleotide ribosomal RNA is filed under the name uncultured bacterium. RNAcentral's name for it is "partial 16S ribosomal RNA". It matches the Rfam family "Bacterial small subunit ribosomal RNA", at positions 524 to 776 of the family's 1533-position model. The record is from RNAcentral.